UGGGGAAUAUUGCACAAUGGGCGCAAGCCUGAUGCAGCCAUGCCGCGUGUGUGAAGAAGGCCUUCGGGUUGUAAAGCACUUUCAGCGAGGAGGAAGGUGGUGAACUUAAUACGUUCAUCAAUUGACGUUACUCGCAGAAGAAGCACCGGCUAACUCCGUGCCAGCAGCCGCGGUAAUACGGAGGGUGCAAGCGUUAAUCGGAAUUACUGGGCGUAAAGCGCACGCAGGCGGUUUGUUAAGUCAGAUGUGAAAUCCCCGGGCUCAACCUGGGAACUGCAUUUGAAACUGGCAAGCUAGAGUCUCGUAGAGGGGGGUAGAAUUCCAGGUGUAGCGGUGAAAUGCGUAGAGAUCUGGAGGAAUACCGGUGGCGAAGGCGGCCCCCUGGACGAAGACUGACGCUCAGGUGCGAAAGCGUGGGGGAGCAAACAGAUUAGAUACCCUGGUAGUCCACGCUGU
This 456-nucleotide ribosomal RNA is filed under the name uncultured bacterium. RNAcentral's name for it is "partial 16S ribosomal RNA". It matches the Rfam family "Bacterial small subunit ribosomal RNA", at positions 355 to 803 of the family's 1533-position model. The record is from RNAcentral.